This 497-nucleotide ribosomal RNA is filed under the name uncultured bacterium. RNAcentral describes it as "partial 16S ribosomal RNA". It matches the Rfam family "Bacterial small subunit ribosomal RNA", at positions 28 to 523 of the family's 1533-position model. The record is from RNAcentral.
GAUGAACGCUGGCGGCGUGCUUAACACAUGCAAGUCGAACGAAGCACUUUUACAGAUUUCUUCGGAUUGAAAUUUUAGUGACUGAGUGGCGGACGGGUGAGUAACGCGUGGGUAACCUGCCUCACACAGGGGGAUAACAGUUGGAAACGGCUGCUAAUACCGCAUAAGCGCACAGUACCGCAUGGUACGGUGUGAAAAACUCCGGUGGUGUGAGAUGGACCCGCGUCUGAUUAGCUAGUUGGCAGGGCAACGGCCUACCAAGGCGACGAUCAGUAGCCGACCGGAGAGGGUGACCGGCCACAUUGGGACUGAGACACGGCCCAAACUCCUACGGGAGGCAGCAGUGGGGAAUAUUGCACAAUGGGGGAAACCCUGAUGCAGCGACGCCGCGUGAGCGAAGAAGUAUUUCGGUAUGUAAAGCUCUAUCAGCAGGGAAGAAGAAAUGACGGUACCUGACUAAGAAGCACCGGCUAAAUACGUGCCAGCCGCCGCAGUAA